RNAcentral lists this long non-coding RNA (349 nucleotides) under Olea europaea (common olive). RNAcentral's name for it is "long non-coding RNA (OEUR_LNC013425)". The record is from RNAcentral. Lineage: Eukaryota; Viridiplantae; Streptophyta; Magnoliopsida; Lamiales; Oleaceae.
AGAGGACGACCAAGGCGAAGACACAUUUUUCAGAUUGAGUGAGGGAUUAGACCUCGGGCUGGGGAAUGUAAGUAAUGAGGGACAUAAUCAGCAGAAUGUAAACGUAAAUGCAGUAAACAGUGGUUCAGACUACGGGGACUCGGAUGACCUGAGAAGUAUGUCAAGUGGUAAUGAAGCAGGUGCCACAAGUAAAAGCAGAAAGGAAGUUUGGUUCAACCCUUCAAUUAUCAUGGAGGACCCUAAAUUCCAGAUUUUUUAGUGAACUACAGACUGGUUUACCUAUUUGGGGACCUCAAACGUUUAUGUGUCAUAGAUUUAGGGCCCCUAAUGCUUAUUUUUAAAAUGUUUG